This 739-nucleotide unclassified non-coding RNA is filed under the name uncultured bacterium. RNAcentral's name for it is "partial contains 16S ribosomal RNA, 16S-23S ribosomal RNA intergenic spacer, and 23S ribosomal RNA". The stretch from base 109 to 182 matches the Rfam family "tRNA". The record is from RNAcentral.
GUCGUAACAAGGUAGCCGUAGGGGAACCUGCGGCUGGAUCACCUCCUUAACGAAAGAUUGGCGAUCGGUAAGAAUCCACAACAAGUUGUUCUUCGAAGAUGUAUCUGAGGGUCUGUAGCUCAGUUGGUUAGAGCACACGCUUGAUAAGCGUGGGGUCACAAGUUCAAGUCUUGUCAGACCCACCAAAUCUGAAAGAUAUAUCGUUCAUUAAAUGAUAAGCUGGGGACUUAGCUUAGUUGGUAGAGCGCCUGCUUUGCACGCAGGAGGUCAGGAGUUCGACUCUCCUAGUCUCCACCAUGAAUUAAAUGAAAUGUUUAAUUCUGAGCUAAAUAGAUUAUAGAGUUUAAUGAAUAAAAAGAUUAAGUAAUUGAUCUUGGUUUAUUAAUCUCUGUGAUUUAUCACAGUUUACUGCAAGCUGACGAGGCUGUAGUUAAUCAUUAACAGAUUAGAAAAUUGAGUCUGAAAUAAAUUGUUCAAACUCGAUUAAAUAGGAAGAUAACAAAUAAUUGUUAAAUUAAUAUUUAAUCUGAGAACUAGCAAAAACACUGAAUCAAGCGUUUUGGUAUAUGAAUUUAGAUUGAAGCUGUAUGGUGAUUAAGUUCACAGACAACAAACUGGAUGAGAGCGAUGUAAGUUGAAAAAUGAGCAUAGCAAUCUGUCCUAACCUUACUUGUAAGGGUUGGCGACUGUUUGGGGUUGUAUAGUCAAGUAAUUAAGUGCAUGUGGUGGAUGCCUUGGC